AAAGAAGAAGAAAAAA
RNAcentral lists this small RNA (16 nucleotides) under Arabidopsis thaliana (thale cress). RNAcentral's name for it is "ATSL292510". The record is from RNAcentral. Lineage: Eukaryota; Viridiplantae; Streptophyta; Magnoliopsida; Brassicales; Brassicaceae.